This 255-nucleotide ribosomal RNA is filed under the name uncultured bacterium. Its description in RNAcentral is "partial 16S ribosomal RNA". It matches the Rfam family "Bacterial small subunit ribosomal RNA", at positions 57 to 305 of the family's 1533-position model. The record is from RNAcentral.
GCAAGUCGAACGAGAACGGGUAUUAGUUUACUAAUACUGUCAGCUAAGUGGCGCACGGGUGAGUAAUAUAUAGUUAAUCUGCCCCGAAGAAGAGAAUAAUUGUUGGAAACGACUUGUAAUGCUCUAUAUGCCCCUAAUACAUAAGUAUGCGGGGGAAACAUUUAUGGCUUCGGGAUGAGACUGUACAGUAUCAGUUAGUUGGUAGGGUAAUGGCCUACCAAGACUAUGACGCUUAACUGGUUUGAGAGGAUGAUC